AGUAACGGCGAGUGAAGCGGCAACAGCUCAAAUUUGAAAUCUGGCCUCUUUCGGGGUCCGAGUUGUAAUUUGUAGAGGAUGUUUUGGGUACCGCGCUGGUUUAAAUUUCUUGGAACAGAAUGUCAGAGAGGGUGAGAAUCCCGUCUUGGACCGGCGUAGGGCCCGUGUAAAACUCCUUCGCCGAGUCGAGUUGUUUGGGA
RNAcentral lists this ribosomal RNA (200 nucleotides) under Herpotrichiellaceae sp. RNAcentral's name for it is "partial large subunit ribosomal RNA". It matches the Rfam family "Eukaryotic large subunit ribosomal RNA", at positions 82 to 279 of the family's 3401-position model. Lineage: Eukaryota; Fungi; Ascomycota; Eurotiomycetes; Chaetothyriales; Herpotrichiellaceae. The record is from RNAcentral.